Molecule: ribosomal RNA, 468 nt
Filed under: Triticum aestivum (bread wheat)
Lineage: Eukaryota; Viridiplantae; Streptophyta; Magnoliopsida; Poales; Poaceae
Description: partial small subunit ribosomal RNA
Source: RNAcentral
AUGCUUGCGAUGUCUGAUGAGCUAGUGCCUCCAUCGGUUCUUGUGGGAACGAUGGACAUGGGUGGCUCUCUCCGCUUGGAAGCGCCGUCGCCUUCCUGUCCUACCCCGGUACCGGCUGGUCGCGGCGGCCUGGGUCCGGUGGAUGAGAUCUUGGUGGAUCCCGGCUGGAUGCAGGUGUUUUGUCGCCGCCGAAAGUGUUCAUCAUUUCUUCGUUCUUCCACCGGACCUGUUGGUGUGUUGGGGCACACCCCGCCCUUCGGCUGCUCGCCAUGCUUCGUGAGGUCUUCUCCUCCUCAAUCGCCGGGCGAAGGCACGCCGGCGGCGGAGCGCUGUGAUGUGCCUUUAUCCGAGAUGGGCUCAUGUCGAACAGAGAAAGGAAAGAGAGCAUGGGGUGAUAACUUUGUAGUCAACACAGACCAAACUAUGGUACAUGUUUUCCCGAGGCCACUCAUUCUGUAUAACUUAUAA